GCAAGUCGAACGAAAAGGUAACUUUGGUUACUGGAUUCGUGGCGGACGGGUGAGUAAUACAUAGAAAUCUACCGAGCAGUGGGGGAUAACAGUUGGAAACGACUGAUAAUACCGCAUACGCCACAUUGGGAAAACUAAGGUGGUGUUCGAUGAGUCUAUGCCGGAUUAGCUAGUUGGUAGGGUAAAGGCCUACCAAGGCGACGAUCUGUAGCUGGUUUGAGAGGAUGAUC
RNAcentral lists this ribosomal RNA (230 nucleotides) under uncultured bacterium. Its description in RNAcentral is "partial 16S ribosomal RNA". It matches the Rfam family "Bacterial small subunit ribosomal RNA", at positions 57 to 305 of the family's 1533-position model. The record is from RNAcentral.